This 253-nucleotide ribosomal RNA is filed under the name uncultured bacterium. RNAcentral's name for it is "partial 16S ribosomal RNA". It matches the Rfam family "Bacterial small subunit ribosomal RNA", at positions 524 to 776 of the family's 1533-position model. The record is from RNAcentral.
GACGAACCGAGCGAACGUUGUUCGGAAUCACUGGGCUUAAAGGGCGCGUAGGCGGCCUUGUAAGUCAAAGGUGAAAUCCCUCGGCUCAACUGAGGAACUGCCUUUGAAACUGCAAGGCUUGAGGCCGGGAGGGGGUAGCGGAAUUCCCAAUGUAGCGGUGAAAUGCGUAGAUAUUGGGAGGAACACCAGUGGCGAAGGCGGCUACCUGGACCGGUUCUGACGCUGAGGCGCGAAAGCGUGGGUAGCAAACAGG